GUGCCGGGAGCGGGGAGCUCGGCCCUGGCGCCGCCGACUCCCGCCCGAGGUCGGCCUGCACGGUCACGGUCCUGCUCACGUUACUCUCCCUUCCUCUCUUCUCGCGCCCCCCACUUCUCUCGCGCGCGCACACUCACACGCACACGCACACGCUCAUGCACACUCUCGCUCACCCCCUCAUGAAAUCGGACCCUUGUUUAUCAGGGUCCCGCGCGCCCUUUGCACUUUCACAUUUCGCUUAAUGAUUUCAGACUUGGCGGUGCAGAGAUGUAUGUGUUGGGGCGGGGGUGGGCAACACCCCAUCCGUCGCCCGCUCCCCUCGAAGGGGUUAAGUCUUAAGCCGCGGUUUCUCGGACCAGCCCGGAAAUCCACAGUGGGGGUGGGGUGGGGGUCUGCUUCUCCGCCCCCCCCCCGCCGUUGCAGAUGCUAAUAACUAUUCAGUUUUCUAGACCGAUUCUUUUAAAACUUAUGCAAAAAAAAAAAAAAAGAAAAGAAAGAGAAAAGAAAAGAAAAGAAAAAGGAAAGAAAGAAACAGAAAAGAGAAAAGAAAGAACCAACAACUGUUUCUAAGAUUUUAAAGCGAUAGGCAAGUCGGAGAAACCGAGAUUUAUUUGGGGGAAAGCAAGCGUGCGCCAAGCCGACCCAACGUGUGGAAGACCAGCCCGCCUACUUGGAUAUUGAGACUGUUGAUUCCUCCAAUUAAUGAAAUGCAUUUGGUGUUAAUCAUAUUUAUUUUACUUUAUGGGAGGGGGAGACGCUAGGACGGCGCACUAAAAAAAAAAAAAAAAAAAAAUUCUGAAAAGCCUGCAAAAGAAUCCGAGUGAAAACUAUUGUUGGAUUUUUACCUCAACAGCGCCACCUUUCGGCAAAGGUCAGUUGAAAUUGAUCCGUGUCCAGUUUUGUUGAAGUGAAAAAAGAAGCUGGUUUCUCAAGGUGGGAGGGGGACUGAGGCACGGAAAGUUUGCGGUGGGAGAGAACCCGACCUUGUAGGAAAGGGGCUAAGGACUGAGCUGGCGGCUGCGGGAAUCCUCUUUCCCCCACUGCCCCCCCUCCCCCCCGAGGUUCGACAAAGAGGCCACGAGACACAGAAGACUUCGGAGUAUGAUUCUGCUGAGAUCUUUUGCAAGUGAAUCCCACGCGUAACAGGGCCCCAAACUCUUUAAAAGUGCCGGGAUGGAUUUUCAACGGGCUUUAUGGCAAUAUCAAUAGAAUUAAAGUUACUUGUAAUUCGGUGAUAAAUGAGAUGUCUCUAGUAAGUAUGAUUAAGUGCAGUGCUAUAAAGUUGUUUAUCUGAAAAGUAAUUCUCAGAAAACCUGACUUCUGACACUUAGUCAUAUAUUAAGCCAGCUUCUUGAACAUUGCACUUCAGAACUGCUCUCACCCACCCCACAGCAUGCCUUACUAUUUAUAAUGAGACCUUAGGUGUCACUCAUUCGCUUCUUCCACCAGAUUAGACUCGUGUUAAUUCUCUGAUGCUGGCAGCCUUCAGUUCCAGCAAACCCAGAAUCCCUAAUGAGAGACUCUCCAAAAGGGGAUGUCUCCUCUUGUCCUUAUCCUGGCUCAAAUGUGGUUUCCUUGGACCCCAACUGGGCUCCCCAAGUCUCUGGGGGGCUCCAUGACUGCCAAGAUCUGUGACCAGUGUGGAAUCUGCACUCAGCCGAGAGACACAGCUACCGCUAUUAUUCUUCAUCAUCAGCUUGCUGAGAGGAUUCAUAGAAAUGUGUGACUUGGCUUGUCUUGCUUCUGAGAACCGAGGUUAAGGCUUGUUCCUUGGAGGAAGUCCUGUGGCUCAGAAAGAGACAGAAAGAAGAUCAUGCACCAAAGUGACCUUUUCCCCCAGCUGCUGUGCAGCGCAAAGCUGAUGAGCCAGGUUCUAACUGGGUGGAAGUCUGGGGGUAACGGGAAGGGUCACUCCGAAGACGACGCAACUUCCCCUGGUUAGCCUGUCGCCAGGUUCCUGGGUUGGGCUUGGUCCGCCUUCUGUGCCAAGCUGGUUUUCUUGGAUGCGGUGGCUUGGCAACUCCACCGGGUCUGGAAGCCAGCAACCAGGAGGUCGGGAGGGGCCCCGGGGAUGUGGGGGGACCCAGCCCAGCUCAGCCUUGCUGCACCCUACCCGGCUGAAAUCACAGACCCACUGUGGUCCGCUGGGUCGGGCCAGGGCGGAGCACCUGCGAAGGGAGGCCGCAGGUGAGGGCGGGGGUGCGGGGGUGCAGGGCCCGGAGCCCCCUGCAAUGCGAAUGUGUGCGGUGAGCACCCUCCCCCGGGGCCCGGGAGGACUGGGCGCUGCCCCCUGAUGGGAAGCCAGGGUCGGCCCAGGGGGCUGAGGGAGGGCGCGGAACCAUCCCAACCACUUGGCUCUGGGAAGAUCGGACUUGCCAUCCGACCCAAGGCUUGUGAAAUCCUGGGACAAGGACCCCAGGGCCUCGGCCUCUGGUGCAGCCUUUAGAUGGUGUCUGAAGAGAAGAAAAGGAGACCUAUCCAGGUCACUCGUUGCCUUUGUGACGCUCCCAGCGCCUGGCUUCUCGGAUGCCCCAUGAAAAGGCCACUCGUGGCUCCACGAUGCACCCCCUUCUCCUAAGGAACUGAUGUCCCCUGUACUUGGGCCACUUUCACAGUUUGUCAUUGACUCUAUCUUUUCCAUUGGCUCAUGAGAUUUUGGAGGGCAGGGAUGGAUCUCGUUUUCACAUCUCCAAAUGCCUAUGGUAGCAAAUGCCCUGCCGCAUGAAUAGAGGGAUGGAGGAAGGAAAAGUCAGUGACCACGGAAAUUAGAUGUUGCUGUGAGGAGGAGUGGGUUUCUUGGGUGGCCCCUCAGGCUGGAGGGAAUUUCCGUGUCUCAGGACCCAAUGAGGACACUUGGCUUCUACUUUGGCCUUGAACGGGCCUGUGAGGUCUUGAAGCAUGUUUAUUAUUUGUCAGUAUAGUUAAAACCAGCUUCAGAUGCACCCUUGCCACAAAAUGACACGAAAGCUCGGUAUCUAAUGUUAAUGAAUUAUGUGUCCCUGGGUCUUUUUUUUUUUUUUUUUUCUAUCUUCUUUUCUCAUCAGCACAAAAAGAACAUUCUUUUUGCUUUUGACUUUACCAGAAAUCAUACUUAUAUGUGUGCAAAAACGCUAAGAUAAGUUUCUAAGUAAAGGAAGCACCAUGAUUCUCUCUCUGUACAUUGACUGGCUGGGGACUGCAUUAAAACAUACCACAUCCUCUCCAUGCAAAACCUGCUGCAUUUUCAAUGUUCUCUUGGCCAGAGCCUACACCCCCAGCAUCCAGGGGGUCCAAGGUCAAAGUCUUCUGGCAAUGAAGAGUGAAAAGGUUGUCCAAAGAAAAAAAAAGUGUUUUUUUUUUAAUUUCUCUAAAAAAGUCAGCUCUACCUUCCUCAAAGAAUUUUGCCCCACUGACACUUCAAUGAGAAGAAAGAGGUAGAUUUUGAGAAAAGAUCCCGUGAUUAUUGAAUGUGGCACCAGGAAGGUCAAGGGCAGCAACAGCAACUGAGAAAUCUUUCUCUUUCUCUCUCCCACAUGCAGUCAGUCUCUAGGUCUGGGGAUCACAUGGGCCUCUAGCCCCACCAUCCCUCCGUGUGCAUUCACCGCUUUUUAAAAAACAGCUUUAUUGAGGAGAAAUCCUCAGUUUUCAGGAGAUACCAAAUUCAACCAUGGGAAGUGGACAGUUUUCUUAAAAUAUCUUCACAGGGCUGUGCAAGUAUCACCACUGUUUAAUCUAGAGCAUUUGUAUCACCUUCUCAAAACACCCAGACCCAUCGCCACUCAUUCUCUGCCUCCCCUUCUCCUCAAGCCCGACAACCAUCAGUCUCCUCUCUCUCUGUACAGAUUUGCCAGUUCUGGACAUUCAUACAAAUGAAAUUAUACAAAACGUG
This is a long non-coding RNA of Canis lupus familiaris (dog), 3868 nucleotides long. RefSeq lists it as uncharacterized. The transcript is spliced from 2 exons. NCBI's taxonomy places the organism in Eukaryota, Metazoa, Chordata, Mammalia, Carnivora, Canidae. The record is from RefSeq and is a predicted model, not a curated record.